GUGGGAGGGGGCUUGCUCCCGAUGGCGGUGGGUCAGUUGGCUCAUAUGAAACUGACCCACUGCCAUCGGGAGCAAGCCCCCUCCCAU
RNAcentral lists this unclassified non-coding RNA (87 nucleotides) under Pseudomonas extremaustralis. Lineage: Bacteria; Pseudomonadati; Pseudomonadota; Gammaproteobacteria; Pseudomonadales; Pseudomonadaceae. The record is from RNAcentral.